GUCUGUGGCCAAACCUCCUUGUCAAAGCCUGAUCUUGUCAGAUCUCAGAAGCUAAGCAAGGUUGAGCCUGAUAGUACUUGGAAGGGAGAUCGCUGGGAAUUCCACGUGCCACAGUGA
Molecule: ribosomal RNA, 117 nt
Filed under: Periophthalmus magnuspinnatus
Lineage: Eukaryota; Metazoa; Chordata; Actinopteri; Gobiiformes; Gobiidae
Source: RNAcentral